This 468-nucleotide ribosomal RNA is filed under the name uncultured bacterium. RNAcentral describes it as "partial 16S ribosomal RNA". It matches the Rfam family "Bacterial small subunit ribosomal RNA", at positions 28 to 507 of the family's 1533-position model. The record is from RNAcentral.
GACGAACGCUGGCGGCGUGCUUAACACAUGCAAGUCGAACGGAAAGGCCCUGCUUCUGGGGGGUGCUCGAGUGGCGGACGGGCGAGUAAGACGCGAGUAACCUGCCUUUGACUUUGGGAUAACUUCAGGUAGGUGGGGCUAAUACAGGACAGGAAAUCCCGCUGCAUGGUGGGGGGUGGAAAGUUUCGGCGGUUGGGGAUGGACUCGCGGCUUAUCAGCUGUGCGGUGGGGUAGUGGCGUACCAAGGCUCUGACGGGUAGACGGCCUGUGGGGGUGGCCAGCCACCUUGGGCCUGCGGUACGGCCCAGACUCCUACGGGACGCAGCAGUGGGGAGUAUUACACAAUGGGGCGAAGCCUGAUGCAGCAAAGCCGCGUGCGGGAUGACGGCCUUCGGGUUGUAAACCGCUUUCGACUGUGACGACGCGUUAGUGACGGUAAUGGGUCAAGAAGCACCGGCUAACUACGUG